AAUGAAGUGCCUGAAUAAAGGGUUAUCUUGAUAGGAUAAAUAAAGUAAUUAAUUACCUUCAUUA
This 64-nucleotide transfer RNA is filed under the name Prorocorypha snowi. RNAcentral's name for it is "tRNA-Ile". Lineage: Eukaryota; Metazoa; Arthropoda; Insecta; Orthoptera; Acrididae. The record is from RNAcentral.